RNA transcript from Nicotiana attenuata, 1215 nucleotides. It is a transcript of the gene named UMP-CMP kinase 3-like, with no coding region annotated. The transcript is spliced from 9 exons. The record is from RefSeq and is a predicted model, not a curated record. NCBI's taxonomy places the organism in Eukaryota, Viridiplantae, Streptophyta, Magnoliopsida, Solanales, Solanaceae.
CUGUUCUUACUUCAACUGCCUCAAAAGUUUUUGCAGUAUUGCCCAAGCCAAGGAUUAUACACCAACUGAACAUUUUCGCCGUUCGGGCAAUCCAAGAUGGAGUCACGCAAGGAAGGUUAUAGAGGCUCAGGAAAGCAGAAGAAGGUCAAAAUUGUUUUUGUUAUAGGUGGUCCAGGGUGUGGUAAAGGCACGCAAUGCAAAAGAAUAGCACAACUGUUUGGCUACACUCAUCUUAGUGUUGGUGAGCUUCUACGUCAAGAAAUCAAUUCUGGUUCUGAAACUGGCUCUAUGAUUCAGAAAAUUAUGAAGGAGGGGAAGCUUGUUCCUUCAGAUGUAACAGUGAGGCUUCUUCAGCAAGCCAUGCAGGGAAUGGACAGCGACAAAUUCCUUAUUGACGGUUUCCCCCGGAAUGAAGAGAAUGUUAAAACAUUUGAGAAUCUUACAAAAAUGGAGCCUGAGUUUGUCCUUUAUCUAGAUUGUCCACAAGAUGAAAUGGAGGGGCGCUUGCUCUCAAGAAACGAGGGAAGGGAGGAUGAUAACAUCGAGACAAUAAGGAAGCGAUUUAAAGUGUUUCUGGAGUCAACUCUCCCUGCAGUCGAAUAUUAUGAAUCAAAGGGGAAAGUUAAGAAGGUUGAUGCUGGAAAAUCUGUUGAUGAGGUUUUCGAGUCGAUCAAAUCCAUUUUCUCUCAAGGAAAAGAGGAUAAGGUGCCAUCAAGCAGACACAACCACAAAUGCCUGAUACUCUGAACGGAUAAGCCUCAAAGCGUGAAAGUAUACAUAAAUAUUUUCACACUUAUACAUACACACUCUCAGUGUAGUGUACCUUGCCUUAUUAUUCAGGGAAUAUUAUAUGUGAGGAAGCAACACAGAGUGUUUUGGAGGCGAUAAUGUGAAGAAAACGCCCACUCGAGAAGUACCCGAGCACAAAGGAGCAGAAAAUGGUCUGGGCAAGAAUUCCACUGCGACCGCGGUGGACCGCGGCGGAUUAAAAUGUGAGGCAGAAAGGUCAGCUCUCACCGCGGUCGAUCGCGGUCCACGCCACGACCGCGAUGAACUGUUCACGCUGCUGGAAGUCUGGGACUAAAGUGUAUUUUCGGGAAAUUUUUUGUAAAACCCUUAUAAGCUUUAGAACUUCGCCCAAGAUGGGGUUAAGCUUGUUUUUAGACUACUUUUGGAAGAGGAACAAGUGUGAGGAGACAAUCCAAACAUUAGAGU